This 506-nucleotide ribosomal RNA is filed under the name uncultured bacterium. RNAcentral describes it as "bacterial SSU rRNA". It matches the Rfam family "Bacterial small subunit ribosomal RNA", at positions 28 to 515 of the family's 1533-position model. The record is from RNAcentral.
GACGAACGCUGGCGGCGUGGAUUAGGCAUGCAAGUCGGACGGUAGGGCUUUAUCGUAAGAUAGAGUUUGAGAGUGGCGAACGGGUGAGUAACACGUAGGAAUCUACCCUUAAGACGGGGACAACCCAGGGAAACUUGGGCUAAUACCGGAUGAGAGUGCGAGAGAUUGCAUUUAAAAGGAUGGCGAAAGUUGUCGCUUAGGGAUGAGCCUGCGGUCUAUUAGUUAGUUGGUGAGGUAAGAGCUCACCAAGGCGAUGAUAGAUAGGCGGCCUUAACGGGUGGUCGCCCACACUGGGAUUGAGAUACGGCCCAGACUCCUACGGGAGGCAGCAGUCGAGAAUAGUCUACAAUGGCCGGAAGGCUGAUAGUGCGACGCCGCGUGAACGAGGGACGCCCUUCGGGGUCGUAAAGUUCGUUUUCUAUACGAGCAGUGCUAUAUAUAUGGAUAGUAUAUAUAGAGGGAUAGUAGUAUAGGAAUAAGCAACGGCUAACGUCCGUGCCAGCACG